RNAcentral lists this ribosomal RNA (253 nucleotides) under uncultured bacterium. RNAcentral describes it as "partial 16S ribosomal RNA". It matches the Rfam family "Bacterial small subunit ribosomal RNA", at positions 524 to 776 of the family's 1533-position model. The record is from RNAcentral.
UACGGAGGGGGCUAGCGUUGUUCGGAAUUACUGGGCGUAAAGCGCACGUAGGCGGCUAUUCAAGUCAGAGGUGAAAGCCUGGAGCUCAACUCCAGAACUGCCUUUGAAACUAGAUAGCUAGAAUCAUGGAGAGGUGGGUGGAAUUCCGAGUGUAGAGGUGAAAUUCGUAGAUAUUCGGAAGAACACCAGUGGCGAAGGCGGCCCACUGGACAUGUAUUGACGCUGAGGUGCGAAAGCGUGGGGAGCAAACAGG